This 253-nucleotide ribosomal RNA is filed under the name uncultured bacterium. Its description in RNAcentral is "partial 16S ribosomal RNA". It matches the Rfam family "Bacterial small subunit ribosomal RNA", at positions 524 to 776 of the family's 1533-position model. The record is from RNAcentral.
UACAGAGGGGGCAAGCGUUAUUCGGAAUUAUUGGGCGUAAAGGGCGCGUAGGCGGCUUGGCAAGUGGAUGGUGAAAUCCCUCGGCUUAACCGAGGAACUGCCGUCCAAACUGCUUUGCUUGAGGCCGGGAGAGGUGAGUGGAAUUCCCAGUGUAGCGGUGAAAUGCGUAGAUAUUGGGAGGAACACCAGUGGCGAAGGCGGCUCACUGGACCGGUACUGACGCUGAGGAGCGAAAGCAUGGGGAGCGAACAGG